GUACAAAUUACUGUAUUAUUCAGGGUUGUAGCAGGAAACAGAUGGCACAACCAAAAGUAAUGAUCAAAGAGGGUGUAGGCAAGAAUAACAGAAAUCUAUGAGAGAUGGUGCAGCAGCUUAGGCUAAGCAAGAGCAAGAUCUUUCUACUCCUAAAAUGAAAAGGCAGGGAAAAGUGGUUCCUGAACCUGUGAGAUCUAUAUAAUGGAGAAGGCUACGUCAGAAGCUGUGAUGCUGAGGAACACAGUUAUUUCCAAGCCACUGCAGGGCAGGAAGGGAGUGUGAAGCUGAGAUUUAAAAACAGAAGGACCAGUAACCUGGGUCAGAACAUCUUCAGAUAAUAGAUCCAUCGGGUUUCCUAAGAGCUACUGCAACAAAAUGGUGCUCAUCUAUUUUGCUUUCCUGAAAGAUAAAAGCCUAAUGGGCCUAUCAGAGAGCCUGUUCCAAGGAGAGACAGACACACAGAGAGGACACAGAAAAGGUCAUUUGAAGGUGAAGGCAAAAAUUGGAGUGAUGCAACUGCAAGCCAAGGACUGCUAGGAACGAGCAGAAACCAGGAAGAAGCAAGGAAGGAUUCUUUCUUGGAACCUUCAGAGAGACCAUGGCCCUGCUGACACCUUGACUUCCAGCCUUCCAGAACUUAAAGAAGAGCUGUCACUUUAAGACACCAUGUUUGAGGUACUCUGUUAAGCAGCCUGAAGAAACUAAUAUACCCAUGGAUACAAUUUAAAUUAUACAUAAGCACACACAUUCGUGUACCCUUAGGAGCUUUAAUUUUAUGUCCCUGGAGUCAAAUGUUCAAAUGCUGGUCCAUCACUUCUUAGCUA
RNAcentral lists this non-coding RNA (824 nucleotides) under Pongo abelii (Sumatran orangutan). The record is from RNAcentral. Lineage: Eukaryota; Metazoa; Chordata; Mammalia; Primates; Hominidae.